CGGUGUUUAACUGGCGUGAUGUGGGACGUCCUACCGGUGGGCUUAGCCUCGCGAGGGGCGGCCCAACUAAUAUCCCGUCGCGGUGCUCUUUACUGAGUGUCGAGUCGGGCCGGUACGUUUACUUUGAACAAAUUAGAGUGCUUAAAGCAGGCUAUCCUCGCCUGAAUACUGCGUGCAUGGAAUAAUGGAAUAGGACCUCGGUUCUAUUUUGUUGGUUUUCGGAACCCCGAGGUAAUGAUUAAUAGGGACAGAUGGGGGCAUUCGUAUUGCGACGUUAGAGGUGAAAUUCUUGGAUCGUCGCAAGACGGACAGAAGCGAAAGCAUUUGCCAAAAAUGUUUUCAUUAAUCAAGAACGAAAGUUAGAGGUUCGAAGGCGAUCAGAUACCGCCCUAGUUCUAACCAUAAAACGAUGCCAGCUAGCGAUCCGCCGAAGUUUCCUCCGAUGACUCGGCGGGGCAGCUUUCCGGGAAACCAAAGCUUUGGGGUUCCGGGGGAAGUAUGGUUGCAAAGCUGAAACUUAAAUGAAUUGACGAAGGGCACCACCAGGAGUGGAGCCUGCGGCUUAAUUUGACUCAACACGGGAAACCUCACCAGGCCCAGACACCGGAAGGAUUGACAGAUUGAUAGCUCUUUCUUGAUUCGGUGGGUGGUGGUGCAUGGCCGUUCUUAGUUGGUGGAGCGAUUUGUCUGGUUAAUUCCGAUAACGAACGAGACUCUAGCCUGCUAAAUAGGCGUACCUUAUGGUAUCGCGAAGGCCCCCGGCUUCGGCCGGUGGGUUUUUACUACCAACGUACAAACAAAUCUUCUUAGAGGGACAGGCGG
Molecule: ribosomal RNA, 822 nt
Filed under: uncultured eukaryote
Lineage: Eukaryota
Description: SSU rRNA
Rfam family: Eukaryotic small subunit ribosomal RNA
Source: RNAcentral